CGGCGAGUGAAGCGGUAACAGCUCAAAUUUGAAAUCUGGGUCUUUCAGGCUCCGAGUUGUAAUUUGUAGAAGAUGCUUUGGGUGCGGCCCCGGUCUAAGUUCCUUGGAACAGGACGUCAUAGAGGGUGAGAAUCCCGUAUGUGAUCGGUGGCCUGCGCCCGUGUAAAGCUCUUUCGACGAGUCGGGUUGUUUGGGAAUGCAGCUCUAAAUGGGUGGUAAAUUUCAUCUAAAGCUAAAUACUGGCCAGAGACCGAUAGCGCACAAGUAGAGUGAUCGAAAGAUGAAAAGGACUUUGGAAAGAGAGUUAAACAGUACGUGAAAUUGUUGAAAGGGAAGCGCUUGCAACCAGACUUGCGCGGGGUUGAUCAUCCGGGGUUCUCCCCGGUGCACUCGGCCUCGCUCAGGCCAGCAUCGGUUUCGGUGGUUGGAUAAAGGCCUUGGGAAUGUGGCUCCUCUCGGGGAGUGUUAUAGCCCUCGGUGCAAUGCAGCCUACUGGGACCGAGGACCGCGCUUCGGCUAGGAUGCUGGCGUAAUGGUUGUAAGCGACCCGUCUUGAAACACGGACCAAGGAGUCUAACAUCUAUGCGAGUGUUUGGGUGUCAAACCCAUACGCGUAAUGAAAGUGAACGGAGGUGAGAACCCUUAAGGGUGCAUCAUCGACCGAUCCUGAUGUCUUCGGAUGGAUUUGAGUAGGAGCAUAGCUGUUGGGACCCGAAAGAUGGUGAACUAUGCCUGAAUAGGGUGAAGCCAGAGGAAACUCUGGUGGAGGCUCGCAGCGGUUCUGACGUGCAAAUCGAUCGUCAAAUUUGGGUAUAGGGGCGA
This 822-nucleotide ribosomal RNA is filed under the name Pezicula rhizophila. Its description in RNAcentral is "eukaryotic LSU rRNA". It matches the Rfam family "Eukaryotic large subunit ribosomal RNA", at positions 87 to 926 of the family's 3401-position model. Lineage: Eukaryota; Fungi; Ascomycota; Leotiomycetes; Helotiales; Dermateaceae. The record is from RNAcentral.